Molecule: long non-coding RNA, 201 nt
Filed under: Homo sapiens (human)
Lineage: Eukaryota; Metazoa; Chordata; Mammalia; Primates; Hominidae
Description: HSALNT0234638
Source: RNAcentral
CCAGCAUGUUCUCAGGUGUGCGGCCAGGAGGCCCAUCCGUCUCAGCCCGCCGCCUCGGAGACACUUGAUCCCACAGGGCCUACCAAGAGGGCGGAGACAGUGGCCGGGGGCCUGGGCAUCGCCUGGUGGAAGAGAAGGGAGCAGAAACAACUGUUCAUAGGUCUCCCAUGACCCACCCAGGCAGGGAACAGCGGGAACGAC